GUACAAAUAAAAAUGACGUUUAUGUACAUACGGGAUAUAAGAAGAAAAAAAAAAAAAACAAAAAAAGAAAGCAGAUUGAUUAUUUUUGUAUGUGCUGAUAGAUGGCAGCACUGUACAGUACAAGUACCGUCCAAUCAGGUUGACCAAUUUUACAAAAACAUAUCCGACGAUACUGCGCACACCUGAUGAACACGUUGUCCGAAGCGAGCCAUGGAAAAUGUAUACUUAUCUUGUUGAUUGUUUUUAUAUAUAUAUUAUAUAAAUAUAUAUAUAUUAAUAAAAAUUCUUUCAUUAUGUAUAUAUACACGGUAUUGGUUCAUUUUUCGGUUCAGCGAUUCGUCUCGUUUCAUCGGACGUUUCCCAUCCAAUUAAAAACUCGCUUACAAAAAUAGUAAUACUAAUUUUCUGAGAUCGAAAACAGGAAUUGGAAGUAACAAAUGUGGGAAAAUAAUAUCGUUAAGGAAUAAAUAAGUAUUAAACGGUCAAGAGCGCACCGGAUAAAGACGGUUAAGUAUUUAAUUAACAGUGACGAUGCAGAAUUAAAAACUCCAUUAAACAAGCGCCAUAAUUAUUUUUAUUCAUAAUAGAUGGCAGCACUUCUAUAAAUCGAUAACGUGAUGAGCCGGAAUGUUUAUUAAUCCGGGAAAAUUUUAAUAUUUAGCCAUCCUUCUCGUUUAAAAUUUGUGAUGAACGAAUUAUUAUUAUUAUUAUUUUUUUUUUUUUUUAGUGCUUAGAUAUCGUUAUGCAGAUCAUAUCAAUCGAUUGACUUAACGAUCUUCCGUUGUGUGGUUAUGAUUAAAGAGUCAUCGAUGCUCGACCGAUCGGGAUCGUCUUUCCGCUUGGCUGAACGUUGGAAAUGAAUGACACUGCAUAAUCCUCGCCAGUUAUUACCUGUAAUUUUAGCCGUCUUUCCACCAUAACCCAUUGAAUGGAAUUUAAAACCUCUUUAAACAAGGAUUUAAAUAUUAAAUUUUUUUUUUUUUUUUAAGUUACGCUCGGGAUCGGGAUGAUCGAGCGAAUUGUGCACGAAGAGUUUGUUUGUAUAUAUGUGAAUGUCGUGCGCUUAUUUAGAUCAUUUAAGACGUCAAACACAUUCUUGUGGUUUCCCAGAAUCCAAAAGAAUGCAUUAUAUCGAUGUUAUUAAGCUUUAACGUUCUAAUCAAUAUUUUAUGGCGUCUGCAUUUUUAUAGCGUCAUAUUUUCUCAAAAUUGUUUAAUAUAUUAUACUUGAGGCAAUCUUGUAUAUAA
Molecule: long non-coding RNA, 1247 nt
Filed under: Androctonus crassicauda
Lineage: Eukaryota; Metazoa; Arthropoda; Arachnida; Scorpiones; Buthidae
Source: RNAcentral